GCCUAAGUGGCUCAGUUGGUUAAGCAUCUGACUUUGGCUCAGGUCCUGAUCUCAUGGUUCGUGGGUUUGAGCCCCACAACGGGCU
Felis catus (domestic cat) is the source of this 85-nucleotide transfer RNA. It matches the Rfam family "tRNA". Rfam says of the family: Transfer RNA (tRNA) molecules are approximately 80 nucleotides in length. The record is from Rfam. NCBI's taxonomy places the organism in Eukaryota, Metazoa, Chordata, Mammalia, Carnivora, Felidae.